CUGAACCAGCCAAGUAGCGUGAAGGAUGACUGCCCUAUGGGUUGUAAACUUCUUUUAUAAAGGAAUAAAGGCGGGUAUGGAUACCCCUUUGCAUGUACUUUAUGAAUAAGGAUCGGCUAACUCCGUGCCAGCAGCCGCGGUAAUACGGAGGAUCCGAGCGUUAUCCGGAUUUAUUGGGUUUAAAGGGAGCCUAGAUGGAUGUUUAAGUCAGUUGUGAAAGUUUGCGG
Molecule: ribosomal RNA, 227 nt
Filed under: uncultured Bacteroidaceae bacterium
Lineage: Bacteria; Pseudomonadati; Bacteroidota; Bacteroidia; Bacteroidales; Bacteroidaceae
Description: partial 16S ribosomal RNA
Rfam family: Bacterial small subunit ribosomal RNA
Source: RNAcentral